Macadamia integrifolia is the source of this 264-nucleotide long non-coding RNA. RefSeq lists it as uncharacterized. The record is from RefSeq and is a predicted model, not a curated record. The transcript is spliced from 3 exons. Lineage: Eukaryota; Viridiplantae; Streptophyta; Magnoliopsida; Proteales; Proteaceae.
GAAACUGAAACUUCUGGAGCAACAAGAACAACAAGAAGGAAAGAAGAAGAAGAAGAGAAGAGAAAGAAAAGAGGGAAGAGGAAGAGGUUACUACUGAAAUACUGCACCUAAAAAGGCCGUUGAACAUCCCUGCAGCUAGGAACCUAAAUCACCGAUGAGGAUACAGAGACUGAUUUUGGGACUUUAUGGCACUCGUGAUUAGGAUGAUAAGGAACCGAGCCAGAGGAUGUUAGAGCGGAUUCCCUAUGGGCUAUGAUGGCACGG